This 784-nucleotide ribosomal RNA is filed under the name Streptomyces sp. MBRL 77. RNAcentral's name for it is "bacterial SSU rRNA". It matches the Rfam family "Bacterial small subunit ribosomal RNA", at positions 78 to 875 of the family's 1533-position model. The record is from RNAcentral. Lineage: Bacteria; Bacillati; Actinomycetota; Actinomycetes; Kitasatosporales; Streptomycetaceae.
CUUCGGUGGUGGAUUAGUGGCGAACGGGUGAGUAACACGUGGGCAAUCUGCCCUUCACUCUGGGACAAGCCCUGGAAACGGGGUCUAAUACCGGAUAACACUCUGUCCCGCAUGGGACGGGGUUGAAAGCUCCGGCGGUGAAGGAUGAGCCCGCGGCCUAUCAGCUUGUUGGUGGGGUAAUGGCCUACCAAGGCGACGACGGGUAGCCGGCCUGAGAGGGCGACCGGCCACACUGGGACUGAGACACGGCCCAGACUCCUACGGGAGGCAGCAGUGGGGAAUAUUGCACAAUGGGCGAAAGCCUGAUGCAGCGACGCCGCGUGAGGGAUGACGGCCUUCGGGUUGUAAACCUCUUUCAGCAGGGAAGAAGCGAAAGUGACGGUACCUGCAGAAGAAGCGCCGGCUAACUACGUGCCAGCAGCCGCGGUAAUACGUAGGGCGCAAGCGUUGUCCGGAAUUAUUGGGCGUAAAGAGCUCGUAGGCGGCUUGUCACGUCGGAUGUGAAAGCCCGGGGCUUAACCCCGGGUCUGCAUUCGAUACGGGCUAGCUAGAGUGUGGUAGGGGAGAUCGGAAUUCCUGGUGUAGCGGUGAAAUGCGCAGAUAUCAGGAGGAACACCGGUGGCGAAGGCGGAUCUCUGGGCCAUUACUGACGCUGAGGAGCGAAAGCGUGGGGAGCGAACAGGAUUAGAUACCCUGGUAGUCCACGCCGUAAACGUUGGGAACUAGGUGUUGGCGACAUUCCACGUCGUCGGUGCCGCAGCUAACGCAUUAAGUUCCCCGCCUG